GCCUAGCUCAGUUGGUAGAGCAUGAGACUAUUAAUCUCAGGGUCGUGGGUUCAUGCCCCACGUUGGGCA
Chionomys nivalis (European snow vole) is the source of this 69-nucleotide non-coding RNA. The record is from the annotation of a RefSeq genome assembly. NCBI's taxonomy places the organism in Eukaryota, Metazoa, Chordata, Mammalia, Rodentia, Cricetidae.